This 405-nucleotide unclassified non-coding RNA is filed under the name soil metagenome. RNAcentral describes it as "partial contains 5.8S ribosomal RNA, internal transcribed spacer 2, and large subunit ribosomal RNA". The stretch from base 1 to 122 matches the Rfam family "5.8S ribosomal RNA", at positions 35 to 154 of the family's 154-position model. The record is from RNAcentral.
GAUGAAGAACGUAGCAAAAUGCGAUACUUGGUAUGAAUUGCAGAAUCCCGUGAACCAUCGAGUUUUUGAACGCAAGUUGCGCCCGAAGCCUUUUGGCCGAGGGCACGUCUGCCUGGGCGUCACGCAUCGCGUCGCCCCCCACAAAUUCUCCGUCAGGGGAGCUUGUGUUUCGGGGGCGGAUACUGGUCUCCCGUGCUCAUGGCGCGGUUGGCCGAAAUAGGAGUCCCUUCGAUGGACGCACGAACUAGUGGUGGUCGUAAAAACCCUCGUCUUUUGUUUCGUGCCGUUAGUCGCGAGGGAAGCUCUUCAAAAACCCCAACGCGUCGUCUCUUGACGGCGCUUCGACCGCGACCCCAGGUCAGGCGGGACUACCCGCUGAACUUAAGCAUAUCAAUAAGCGGAGGA